AUUGAACGCUGGCGGCAGGCCUAACACAUGCAAGUCGAGCGGAUGAAGGGAGCUUGCUCCUGGAUUCAGCGGCGGACGGGUGAGUAAUUCCUAGGAAUCUGCCUGGUAGUGGGGGAUAACGUCCGGAAACGGGCGCUAAUACCGCAUACGUCCUGAGGGAGAAAGUGGGGGAUCUUCGGACCUCACGCUAUCAGAUGAGCCUAGGUCGGAUUAGCUAGUUGGUGGGGUAAAGGCCUACCAAGGCGACGAUCCGUAACUGGUCUGAGAGGAUGAUCAGUCACACUGGAACUGAGACACGGUCCAGACUCCUACGGGAGGCGGCAGUGGGGAAUAUUGGACAAUGGGCGAAAGCCUGAUCCAGCCAUGCCGCGUGUGUGAAGAAGGUCUUCGGAUUGUAAAGCACUUUAAGUUGGGAGGAAGGGCAGUAAGUUAAUACCUUGCUGUUUUGACGUUACCAACAGAAUAAGCACCGGCUAACUUCGUG
RNAcentral lists this ribosomal RNA (484 nucleotides) under uncultured bacterium. Its description in RNAcentral is "partial 16S ribosomal RNA". It matches the Rfam family "Bacterial small subunit ribosomal RNA", at positions 30 to 507 of the family's 1533-position model. The record is from RNAcentral.